Molecule: ribosomal RNA, 882 nt
Filed under: uncultured bacterium
Lineage: Bacteria
Description: bacterial SSU rRNA
Rfam family: Bacterial small subunit ribosomal RNA
Source: RNAcentral
UGCAGUCGAGUGCGCGUCUGUAGCAAUACAGAUGGCGCACGGCGCACGGGUGCGUAACACGUGGGUAAUCUGCCCUUCGAUGGGGAAUAACUCCGGGAAACCGAAGCUAAUUCCGCAUAACAUUCCUUGAACUUCGGUUUGAGGACUCAAAGCCGUAAGGCGUCGGAGGAGGAACCCGCGCACGAUAGGUAGUUGGCAGGGUAACGGCCUACCAAGCCUUUGAUCGUUAGCUGGUCUGAGAGGAUGGCCAGCCACACUGGAACUGAGACACGGUCCAGACUCCUACGGGAGGCAGCAGUGGGGAAUCUUGCACAAUGGGCGAAAGCCUGAUGCAGCGACGCCGCGUGGGAGAUGAAGCUUUUCGGAGUGUAAACCCCUUUCGACCCGGACGAAUGCCCCGCAAGGGGACUGACGGUACGGGUAUAAGAAGCCCCGGCUAACUACGUGCCAGCAGCCGCGGUAAGACGUGGGGGGCCAGCGUUGUUCGGAAUUACUGGGUGUAAAGGGUCAGUAGGCGGUGUGGCAAGUCGGGAGUGAAAUCUCUGGGCUCAACUCAGAGACUGCUUCCGAAACUGCUGUGCUAGAGUGUGGGAGAGGCGCGUGGAAUUGCAGGUGUAGCGGUGAAAUGCGUAGAUAUCUGCAGGAACACCCGUGGCGAAAGCGGCGCGCUGGACCACAACUGACGCUGAAUGACGAAAGCUAGGGGAGCAAACAGGAUUAGAUACCCUGGUAGUCCUAGCCCUAAACGAUCAGGACUUGGGGUGCCGCACGUUCGUGCGUCGUCCCGGAGCUAACGCGUUAAGUCCUGCACCUGGGGAGUACGGUCGCAAGACUGAAACUCAAAGAAUUGACGGGGGCCCGCACAAGCGGUGGAACAUGUGG